ACAAAUUUGCACAGCCGAAGGCUAGCCUCUGGUGAGAGCCAAGGAUGGCUCUCAUAAU
Molecule: small RNA, 58 nt
Filed under: Vibrio cholerae O1 biovar El Tor str. N16961
Lineage: Bacteria; Pseudomonadati; Pseudomonadota; Gammaproteobacteria; Vibrionales; Vibrionaceae
Source: RNAcentral